RNAcentral lists this unclassified non-coding RNA (432 nucleotides) under soil metagenome. Its description in RNAcentral is "partial contains 5.8S ribosomal RNA, internal transcribed spacer 2, and large subunit ribosomal RNA". The stretch from base 1 to 120 matches the Rfam family "5.8S ribosomal RNA", at positions 35 to 154 of the family's 154-position model. The record is from RNAcentral.
GAUGAAGAACGUAGCGAAAUGCGAUACGUAAUGUGAAUUGCAGAAUUCAGUGAAUCAUCGAAUCUUUGAACGCAUAUUGCGCUCUCUGGUAUUCCGGAGAGCAUGCUUGUUUGAGUAUCAGUAAACACCUCAACUUCCAUAUCUUUUUUGAAAUGGGAGUUGGACUUGAGUGAUCCCAACGCUUUUCCUCACCGAAAAGUGGCGGGUUACUUGAAAUGCAGGUGCAGCUGGACUUUUCUCUGAGCUAUAAGCAUAUCUAUUUAGUCUGCCUAAAAAACAGAUUAUUACCUUUGCUGCAGCUAACAUAAAGGAGAUUAGUUCUUGUGCUGACUGAUGCAGGAUUCACAAAGACGGCUUCGGCCGACUUUGUAAACUCGAUCUCAAAUCAAGUAAGACUACCCGCUGAACUUAAGCAUAUCAAUAAGCGGAGGG